AACCAGCACCUCAAGUGGUCAGGAUGAUUAUUGGGCCUAAAGCAUCCGUAGCCGGCUCUGUAAGUUUUCGGUUAAAUCUGUACGCUCAACGUACAGGCUGCCGGGAAUACUGCAGAGCUAGGGAGUGGGAGAGGUAGACGGUACUCGGUAGGAAGGGGUAAAAUCCUUUGAUCUAUUGAUGACCACCUGUGGCGAAGGCAGCCCCCUGGGAUAACACUGACGCUCAUGCACGAAAGCGUGGGGAGCAAACAGG
Molecule: ribosomal RNA, 253 nt
Filed under: uncultured archaeon
Lineage: Archaea
Description: partial 16S ribosomal RNA
Rfam family: Archaeal small subunit ribosomal RNA
Source: RNAcentral